AUUGAACGCUGGCGGCAGGCCUAACACAUGCCAGUCGAGCGGAUGAAGGGAGCUUGCUCCUGGAUUCAGCGGCGGACGGGUGAGUAAUGCCUAGGAAUCUGCCUGGUAGUGGGGGAUAACGUCCGGAAACGGGCGCUAAUACCGCAUACGUCCUGAGGGAGAAAGUGGGGGAUCUUCGGACCUCACGCUAUCAGAUGAGCCUAGGUCGGAUUAGCUAGUUGGUGGGGUAAAGGCCUACCAAGGCGACGAUCCGUAACUGGUCUGAGAGGAUGAUCAGUCACACUGGAACUGAGAAACGGCCCAAGCCCCUACGGGAGGCAGGGGGGGGAAAUUUUGGCAAAGGGGCGAAAGCCUGAUCCAGCCAUGCCGGGUGGGUGAAGAAGGUCUUCGGUUUGUAAAGCACUUUAAGUUGGGAGGAAGGGCAGUAAGUUAAUACCUUGCUUUUUUGACGUUACCAACAGAAUAAGCCCCGGCUAACUUCGU
This 483-nucleotide ribosomal RNA is filed under the name uncultured bacterium. RNAcentral describes it as "partial 16S ribosomal RNA". It matches the Rfam family "Bacterial small subunit ribosomal RNA", at positions 30 to 506 of the family's 1533-position model. The record is from RNAcentral.